This 310-nucleotide small nuclear RNA is filed under the name Sorex araneus (European shrew). RNAcentral describes it as "7SK RNA (ENSSARG00000018293.1)". It matches the Rfam family "7SK RNA". Rfam says of the family: 7SK was discovered as an abundant small nuclear RNA in the mid-70s but a possible function has only recently been suggested. Two independent studies have found that 7SK RNA binds the CDK9/cyclin T complex (known as elongation factor P-TEFb). P-TEFb activates transcription by phosphorylating the C-terminal domain of RNA polymerase II. The record is from RNAcentral. Lineage: Eukaryota; Metazoa; Chordata; Mammalia; Eulipotyphla; Soricidae.
UCAUAUGAGGCAAUUAGGCUGUGACAUUUGUCACCCCAUUGAUAGCCAGGUUGAAUUGGCUCAUCAGGCUGACUAGGCGGGUGCCCCCUUCCUCCCUUAUGGCUCCAUGUGUGUCCCUUCCCUCUGGAAGCUGCACACUCAGUGAAAGAGGACAGCCUUGCCGAGUAGAGACAGACCAUUCUUUGGUAUAAAGUAGCUGUGCUUCCAUGGUAGAACCUCCAAACAAGCUCACAAAUAUCCAAUUACAGAUGAGUGGAUAAAGAUGUGGUAUGUAUACACUAUAUAUAUAUAUAUGUAUAUAUAUGUUUGU